RNAcentral lists this ribosomal RNA (491 nucleotides) under uncultured bacterium. RNAcentral describes it as "partial 16S ribosomal RNA". It matches the Rfam family "Bacterial small subunit ribosomal RNA", at positions 29 to 506 of the family's 1533-position model. The record is from RNAcentral.
AGUGAACGCUGGCGGUAGGCCUAACACAUGCAAGUCGAACGGCAGCACAGUAAGAGCUUGCUCUUACGGGUGGCGAGUGGCGGACGGGUGAGGAAUACAUCGGAAUCUACUUUUUCGUGGGGGAUAACGUAGGGAAACUUACGCUAAUACCGCAUACGACCUACGGGUGAAAGCAGGGGAUCUUCGGACCUUGCGCGAUUGAAUGAGCCGAUGUCGGAUUAGCUAGUUGGCGGGGUAAAGGCCCACCAAGGCGACGAUCCGUAGCUGGUCUGAGAGGAUGAUCAGCCACACUGGAACUGAGACACGGUCCAGACCCCGACGGGAGGCAGAAGUGGGGAAUAUUGGACAAUGGGCGCAAGCCUGAUCCAGCCAUACCGCGUGGGUGAAGAAGGCCUGCGGGUUGUAAAGCCCUUUUGUUGGGAAAGAAAAGCAGCAGGUUAAUACCCCGCUGUUCUGACGGUACCCAAAGAAUAAGCACCGGCUAACUUCGU